CUCAGGACGAACGCAGGGGGCGUGCCUAAUACAUGCAAGUCGAACGCUUCUUUCCUCCCGAGUGCUUGCACUCAAUUGGAAAGAGGAGUGGCGGAUGGGUGAGUAACACGUGGGUAACCUACCCAUCAGAGGGGGAUAACACUCGGAAACAGGUGCUAAUACCGCAUAACAGUUUAUGCCGCAUGGCAUAAGAGUGAAAGGCGCUUUCGGGUGUCGCUGAUGGAUGGACCCGCGGUGCAUUAGCUAGUUGGUGAGGUAACGGCUCACCAAGGCCACGAUGCAUAGCCGACCUGAGAGGGUGAUCGGCCACACUGGGACUGAGACACGGCCCAGACUCCUACGGGAGGCAGCAGUAGGGAAUCUUCGGCAAUGGACGAAAGUCUGACCGAGCAACGCCGCGUGAGUGAAGAAGGUUUUCGGAUCGUAAAACUCUGUUGUUAGAGAAGAACAAGGACGUUAGUAACUGAAC
This 469-nucleotide ribosomal RNA is filed under the name bacterium sb33. RNAcentral describes it as "bacterial SSU rRNA". It matches the Rfam family "Bacterial small subunit ribosomal RNA", at positions 23 to 477 of the family's 1533-position model. The record is from RNAcentral.